AUAUUGUCGGUGGGAAAUUAGUGUGAAAUUCACUUGCUGUUCCUGCAACGGUUAAAGUCCGAAUGCCACCCAAUAA
The submitters of this non-coding RNA (76 nucleotides) gave its source as unclassified sequences. The record is from Rfam.